UACGAAGGUGGCAAGCGUUACUCGGAAUUACUAGGCGUAAAGGGCAGGUAGGCGGUCGAAUAAGUCUAUUGUGAAAGCUCCCGGCUUAACUGGGAGACGUCAACAGAUACUGUUUGACUUGAGUAUGGGAGAGGGUACUGGAAUUCCUGGUGUAGCGGUGAAAUGCGCAGAUAUCAGGAGGAACACCGAUGGCGAAAGCAGGUACCUGGACCAUUACUGACGCUCAGCUGCGAAAGCUAGGGGAGCAAACAGG
This 253-nucleotide ribosomal RNA is filed under the name uncultured bacterium. RNAcentral's name for it is "partial 16S ribosomal RNA". It matches the Rfam family "Bacterial small subunit ribosomal RNA", at positions 524 to 776 of the family's 1533-position model. The record is from RNAcentral.